RNAcentral lists this ribosomal RNA (488 nucleotides) under uncultured bacterium. Its description in RNAcentral is "bacterial SSU rRNA". It matches the Rfam family "Bacterial small subunit ribosomal RNA", at positions 28 to 517 of the family's 1533-position model. The record is from RNAcentral.
GACGAACGCUGGCGGCGUGCUUAACACAUGCAAGUCGAACGAGAAUCUGCGGAAAGAGGAUUCGUCCAAUUGAAGCAGAGGACAGUGGCGGACGGGUGAGUAACGCGUGAGGAACCUGCCUUUCAGAGGGGGACAACAGUUGGAAACGACUGCUAAUACCGCAUGACACAUCGGAGUCGCAUGGCUCUGAUGUCAAAGNUUAUCGCUGAAAGAUGGCCUCGCGUCUGAUUAGCUAGUUGGUGAGGUAACGGCCCACCAAGGCGACGAUCAGUAGCCGGACUGAGAGGUUGAACGGCCACAUUGGGACUGAGAUACGGCCCAGACUCCUACGGGAGGCAGCAGUGGGGAAUAUUGGGCAAUGGGCGCAAGCCUGACCCAGCAACGCCGCGUGAAGGAAGAAGGCUUUCGGGUUGUAAACUUCUUUGUCAGGGACGAGUAGAAGACGGUACCUGACGAAUAAGCCACGGCUAACUACGUGCCAGCAGCCG